This 113-nucleotide ribosomal RNA is filed under the name Arabis alpina (gray rockcress). RNAcentral's name for it is "rRNA ENSRNAG00050207845". The record is from RNAcentral. Lineage: Eukaryota; Viridiplantae; Streptophyta; Magnoliopsida; Brassicales; Brassicaceae.
GGGGUGCAACACGAGGACUUCCCAGGAGGUCACCCAUCCUAGUACUACUUUCGCCCAAGCACGCUUGACUGCGGAGUUCUGAUGGGAUCCGGUGCAUUAGUGCUGGUAUGAUC